This 391-nucleotide ribosomal RNA is filed under the name uncultured eukaryote. Its description in RNAcentral is "partial 18S ribosomal RNA". It matches the Rfam family "Eukaryotic small subunit ribosomal RNA", at positions 592 to 976 of the family's 1831-position model. The record is from RNAcentral.
CAAUAGCGUAUAUUAAAGUUGUUGCAGUUAAAGAGCUCGUAGUUGGAUUUCUGUGAGAGUGCCGGUGUCGGCUGAUGCUUGUACGCAGGCGCUCUUACAUCCUUCUGUUAACUGAUCUUGGCAUUUUAUUGCUGGUUCAGGGCUCAGAUAUUUUACCUUGAGAAAAUUAGAGUGUUUCAGGCAGGCUUAUGCCGGAAUACAUUAGCAUGGAAUAAUGGAACAGGACCUGUGCGUCUUUCGGGGCGCCGGUCUCCGUUAUUGGUUUCGGGGACUAAAGUAAUGAUUAAUAGGGAUAGUUGGGGGCAUUAGUAUUUAAUAGUCAGAGGUGAAAUUCUCGGAUUUGUUAAAGACUAACUUAUGCGAAAGCAUUUGCCAAGGAUGUUUUCAUUAA